Long non-coding RNA from Astatotilapia calliptera (eastern happy), 1324 nucleotides. Lineage: Eukaryota; Metazoa; Chordata; Actinopteri; Cichliformes; Cichlidae. The record is from Ensembl.
CCGCGAGUGGAGAAAUAUAGAAGCGCCUUCAGGGGGAAGCGGGAGAGACAAAAAACACGAAUGUAAAUACUUCAGAAGAUCAGUGCCUCUCCAUCACUGUUGACUUUGUUUAAUCCUUUGAGCCUCUACAAACAAUGGGAGAUGGGAUUUUUUCUUUUUUUUGUCACAACAAAAUCUAGAAAAUGUUAUUUGUGUCACUGCUGUGCCACAUCAGGAUGCGCACACGCUCCCCUUCAGUAGGCGAAUACGGUUCGUGUGCUUUUGUUUUAACGUCGCCGUUUUUAUUAGCUGUUUAAGACAUGCCCCAGUUUCUGUUUUCUGCUUAUUAAUAAUACAUAAUAACACGAAACUGACAUUUAAUGGAGGCGACGAAGGCACGUGAGAGCGGGCACGCAGGGGACAAAAAGACACUGAAAAAUAAACUAUUUUUAGUUCAUGUUGACAUUUUUCGCUUUAGUAUUCAAACAGCUGAGAGAGGACUCGUAUCAGUUUUCUAUGUAUUCUUCCAAACCAAGUGUAUAACCUGAUAUUUAACUAAAGCUGUUUUCACACAAGAACCCUGGAAAAUGUCUCCGGAUGCUUCUCCAUAGCGAGAACAUAGAGUUCGCUCUUUGUGACGGUGCAGCCUGGACACGCUGUGCAAGACAAAGACAAAGAGUUCUCUGGUUUUUAUUAGUUUUCAGUUGUUGGUUUGAGUUUGGGUUCAGAGUGAGUUUGCUUUUUUCAUUUUUUGCUUUGAUUUUUUUUUAAUUGUUCAGUUUUUGCUUAGUUUUGGUCUUUUUUUUUUUAUCAUUUUAAUAUGUGGAAGUAUCUCCAAGUAGACUUGUAGUCAAGACCAGAGGGUAUCGAGACCAAGACCGAGACAAAAAAAAAGUCUUUAAACUGCAGCCAGAUGCUAUUCUAUAUACAUAUGCAGGACACCUUAAACUAGUUUUUUAAUUAAGCAGCAAGGCAGAACAAAGUCGGGCCUGUAUCAAGACACAGGGACUAAACCCCAAUUCAACCAGACCCAGAACUGAUCCAGAAUUAAAACAGGACUACAACAGUAACCAAGACAGAACCAGAAUCAGAACUAGAUGAUAGCAGCACUAAAAAUCAUCAUAGACCUGCACUACACUUAUUUUUUAAUUCUACCAAAGUACAAUAUUUAGAUUGAGAAAAGUUCAUAUAAUUAUUUAGCCUUGUUGUGCAAACAAGCCUGCAGAACUUAAUAAAUAUAGAAUUUGAAAAAUAACAAAUGGUAUCUAAAAAGAAACACUAGGUACGAGAUACAUGUUCUGAUGAGUUUUGGCAAACAACCAUUUGACUAACAUGUGUCUCACCU